UUGGAGGGCAAGUCUGGUGCCAGCAGCCGCGGUAAUUCCAGCUCCAAUAGCGUAUAUUAAAGUUGUUGCAGUUAAAAAGCUCGUAGUUGAAUUUCGAGACCGGUUUAUUGGUCGUGCUUUUGUACGUACUGGUAUAAUCGGUUUCUCUCUUCUGACGAACUAUAAUGCCAUUAAUUUGGUGUUAUGGGAAAUCAGGACUGUUACUUUGAAAAAAUUAGAGUGUUUAAAGCAGGCUUUGGCUUGAAUACAUUAGCAUGGAAUAAUGAAAUAGGACGUUCGAACCUAUUUUGUUGGUUUCUAGGAUCAACGUAAUGAUUAAUAGGGAUAGUUGGGGGCAUUAGUAUUCAAUUGUCAGAGGUGAAAUUCUUGGAUUUAUUGAAGACUAACUACUGCGAAAGCAUUUGCCAAGGAUGUUUUCAUUAAUCAAGAACGAAAGUUAGGGGAUCGAAGACGAUCAGAUACCGUCGUAGUCUUAACCAUAAACUAUGCCGACUAGGGAUCGGAUGAUGUUAAUUUUUUAAUGACUCAUUCGGCGCCUUACGGGAAAC
RNAcentral lists this ribosomal RNA (548 nucleotides) under uncultured Glomus. Its description in RNAcentral is "SSU rRNA". It matches the Rfam family "Eukaryotic small subunit ribosomal RNA", at positions 548 to 1098 of the family's 1831-position model. The record is from RNAcentral. Lineage: Eukaryota; Fungi; Glomeromycota; Glomeromycetes; Glomerales; Glomeraceae.